Molecule: long non-coding RNA, 1053 nt
Organism: Sinocyclocheilus rhinocerous
Lineage: Eukaryota; Metazoa; Chordata; Actinopteri; Cypriniformes; Cyprinidae
Exons: 3
Source: RefSeq, a predicted model, not a curated record
AAUCUAUUGCAUCAGUUCAGCUACUGUAUUUACAUUAUGAUGAUAACGAUGCUUUCUGAAUUUACAGUCUCGCAUGAUCCAGACAGAGCGGGGAAGAGUUGUUCUGUAUCAGAGAGGAUCAUGAUGAGAUGAGAUACAAAUGGAGUGUAGAGAUGAAAUAAUGCAUACUGAAAACUGCUGGAGCAUCAGAAACUACAGAAGAGCAAAACCCAACAGGACAGAGAGAGAAAUGGAGGACAGAAAUGAAAGACAAACCAGUGGCUCUCAAGAGAAAAGCAGACAGAGACUUGUUAGAUGUGACAGUAUGAAGAGAAUAAAACCAACAUUCUCGCAUGAUCCAGAAGGGCCUGUAAAGUUUGAUUCAGAUAUUCUGAAGAACACACACCAUCACUGACCUCCAGCUACUAACAGAUGAAAACCUGAACAUAAUCACCAUCAUCUUCUUAGACUCUAUCACUCCAGACUGCAGUCUGUUGAGCUUCUGGACUCUUUCAGUAUUUUUCAGACUCAUCUGAGUGCAAACUAACAGACUGAUGCACUAAAGCAUGUCUGUGGAUUGAGGAGGAAUCUGGAGAACCUGAAGGAAACCCACAAUAACACAGACAACAAUAGAAUACAUAGAAAAGCCACUGACUUCAACCACAACUUAGUGAUACCCACUGAGCCACCUAACAUUUCAUACUAUACAGUACUUAAAUUAUCUUCUGUAUUUAAGAGAAAUUAAGUGGCAUGUUGAUCUGCCAGUCACUGGUCUUUAAUGCUUUCCUCCAUGUAAAAAGCCAUGUUUAUAGUUUUUUCACACUUGAAAAUCGAAUGUGUUGUGGGCAAUAUUAGAGUGUGAACGGAUUUACACUUUGAAUUUCCAGUAGAAACAGUAAACCAUCCUGGUACCUUUGGGAAACUCAUUUCAUCAUAUUAUGAUUUGGGACACACCAACUAAUUUUUUUGCAAAUUUUUGGAUGCAGCACAUAUCAACACUGAAGAACAGUCUCAAAGAUUCAUUACUGACAGUGUGGGAUUACAAAUGUAUAAAAUCUAGGUUCCAAUGUAAUA